This 253-nucleotide ribosomal RNA is filed under the name uncultured bacterium. RNAcentral's name for it is "partial 16S ribosomal RNA". It matches the Rfam family "Bacterial small subunit ribosomal RNA", at positions 524 to 776 of the family's 1533-position model. The record is from RNAcentral.
UACGAAGGGGGCUAGCGUUGCUCGGAAUUACUGGGCGUAAAGGGAGCGUAGGCGGAUAGUUUAGUCAGAGGUGAAAGCCCAGGGCUCAACCUUGGAAUUGCCUUUGAUACUGGCUAUCUUGAGUAUGGGAGAGGUAUGUGGAACUCCGAGUGUAGAGGUGAAAUUCGUAGAUAUUCGGAGGAACACCAGUGGCGAAGGCGACAUACUGGCCCAUUACUGACGCUGAGGCUCGAAAGCGUGGGGAGCAAACAGG